RNAcentral lists this unclassified non-coding RNA (458 nucleotides) under Hevea brasiliensis (rubber tree). Lineage: Eukaryota; Viridiplantae; Streptophyta; Magnoliopsida; Malpighiales; Euphorbiaceae. The record is from RNAcentral.
UAAUUUAGAUGGUUGAAGAUUGAGAAUUAACUUAUAUUUUUACAACAGAAUUGAAACAUCACCAUUUGUUGUGUUCAGUUGAUGCUGGAGAAAGAUCAGAUCAUGAGGAUUCCAGCACAGCAGCAGAUGGAGCGACAGGAAUUUAUAGCACGAGAACAUAGUGAGGAGUAUGAGGCAGCUCUUCAGAGAGCUGUUGCUUUAGACAUUCCACAAGCCUACUCAUCUUCUCCAUAUGGAACUUUUCAUGUAUUGGAAGAAGGGGAGACUUCUGGCAGCUCAAGUGGAGGAAUUUCAUUAUUGUCAUUCAAGAAAAUAAGGGAACGUUGGGAUAAUUUUAUAGACCGUCUUUUUGAUGUGGACGAAUCAGGUCACAUGGUGUUCAAGAAGCCAGUCUCAUAGACCUCAAAAUGUUCCACUGUUGUAAUUAAGCCAUGCAUUCUCUUCACAAAUCGUUCAAA